This 72-nucleotide transfer RNA is filed under the name Colocasia esculenta (taro). Its description in RNAcentral is "tRNA-Ile". Lineage: Eukaryota; Viridiplantae; Streptophyta; Magnoliopsida; Alismatales; Araceae. The record is from RNAcentral.
GCUUAUUAUCCUAGGUCGGAACAAGUUGAUAGGAUCCGUAAGGGGGAAGGAUGGAACAAGCAAAGCACACUU